Molecule: ribosomal RNA, 468 nt
Filed under: uncultured bacterium
Lineage: Bacteria
Description: partial 16S ribosomal RNA
Rfam family: Bacterial small subunit ribosomal RNA
Source: RNAcentral
GACGAACGCUGGCGGCGUGCUUAACACAUGCAAGUCGAACGGAAAGGCCCUGCUUUUGUGGGGUGCUCGAGUGGCGAACGGGUGAGUAACACGUGAGUAACCUGCCCUUGACUUUGGGAUAACUUCAGGAAACUGGGGCUAAUACCGGAUAGGAGCUCCUGCUGCAUGGUGGGGGUUGGAAAGUUUCGGCGGUUGGGGAUGGACUCGCGGCUUAUCAGCUUGUUGGUGGGGUAGUGGCUUACCAAGGCUUUGGCGGGUAGGCGGCCUGAGAGGGUGAACGGCCACAUUGGGACUGAGAUACGGCCCAGACUGCUACAGGAGGCAGCAGUGGGAAAUAUUGCACAAUGGGCGGAAGCCUGAUGCAGCAACGCCGCGUGCGGGAUGACGGCCUUCGGGUUGUAAACCGCUUUCGCCUGUGACGAAGCGUGAGUGACGGUAAUGGGUAAAGAAGCACCGGCUAACUACGUG